This 85-nucleotide transfer RNA is filed under the name Pseudomonas sp. 2822-17. RNAcentral's name for it is "tRNA-Tyr". It matches the Rfam family "tRNA". Rfam says of the family: Transfer RNA (tRNA) molecules are approximately 80 nucleotides in length. Their secondary structure includes four short double-helical elements and three loops (D, anti-codon, and T loops). Lineage: Bacteria; Pseudomonadati; Pseudomonadota; Gammaproteobacteria; Pseudomonadales; Pseudomonadaceae. The record is from RNAcentral.
GGAGGGGUAGCGAAGUGGCUAAACGCGGCGGACUGUAAAUCCGCUCCUUACGGGUUCGGGAGUUCGAAUCUCUCCCCCUCCACCA